CCGAGAUGUUGGCUCUGGCUGACAACUUCACACUUUGUGGACUGAAUUGUUGCUUCGGCGGGACACCGCAAGGUCGUUGGCGAAAGCGAACGAGCGCCCGCCGAUGUUUUACACUUUUUACCUGCUGUCAGUUUUUAAACAAAAAAUCA
RNAcentral lists this unclassified non-coding RNA (149 nucleotides) under uncultured fungus. RNAcentral's name for it is "sequence contains ITS1, 5.8S rRNA gene". Lineage: Eukaryota; Fungi. The record is from RNAcentral.